CUGAUGCAGCCAUGCCGCGUGUGUGAAGAAGGCCUUCGGGUUGUAAAGCACUUUCAGUCGUGAGGAAGGUGGUGUAGUUAAUAGCUGCAUUAUUUGACGUUAGCGACAGAAGAAGCACCGGCUAACUCCGUGCCAGCAGCCGCGGUAAUACGGAGGGUGCGAGCGUUAAUCGGAAUUACUGGGCGUAAAGCGCAUGCAGGUGGUUUGUUAAGUCAGAUGUGAAAGCCCGGGGCUCAACCUCGGAAUAGCAUUUGAAACUGGCAGACUAGAGUACUGUAGAGGGGGGUAGAAUUUCAGGUGUAGCGGUGAAAUGCGUAGAGAUCUGAAGGAAUACCGGUGGCGAAGGCGGCCCCCUGGACAGAUACUGACACUCAGAUGCGAAAGCGUGGGGAGCAAACAGGAUUAGAUACCCUGGUAGUCCACGCCGUAAACGAUGUCUACUUGGAGGUUGUGGCCUUGAGCCGUGGCUUUCGGAGCUAACGCGUUAAGUAGACCGCCUGGGGAGUACGGUCGCAAGAUUAAAACUCAAAUGAAUUGACGGGGGCCCGCACAAGCGGUGGAGCAUGUGGUUUAAUUCGAUGCAACGCGAAGAACCUUACCUACUCUUGACAUCCAGAGAACUUUGCAGAGAUGGAUUGGUGCCUUCGGGAACUCUGAGACAGGUGCUGCAUGGCUGUCGUCAGCUCGUGUUGUGAAAUGUUGGGUUAAGUCCCGCAACGAGCGCAACCCUUAUCCUUGUUUGCCAGCGAGUAAUGUCGGGAACUCCAGGGAGACUGCCGGUGAUAAACCGGAGGAAGGUGGGGACGACGUCAAGUCAUCAUGGCCCUUACGAGUAGGGCUACACACGUGCUACAAUGGCGCAUACAGAGGGC
This 872-nucleotide ribosomal RNA is filed under the name Vibrio sp. Its description in RNAcentral is "bacterial SSU rRNA". It matches the Rfam family "Bacterial small subunit ribosomal RNA", at positions 383 to 1247 of the family's 1533-position model. Lineage: Bacteria; Pseudomonadati; Pseudomonadota; Gammaproteobacteria; Vibrionales; Vibrionaceae. The record is from RNAcentral.